GGGCCUAUAGCAUAGUCUGGAUAGUGCGGUCGGCUUCGGACCGAUUGACUCCGGUUCGAAUCCGGAUAGGCUCA
Molecule: transfer RNA, 74 nt
Filed under: Candidatus Woesearchaeota archaeon
Lineage: Archaea; Nanobdellati; Candidatus Woesearchaeota
Description: tRNA-Arg
Rfam family: tRNA
About the family: Transfer RNA (tRNA) molecules are approximately 80 nucleotides in length. Their secondary structure includes four short double-helical elements and three loops (D, anti-codon, and T loops). Further hydrogen bonds mediate the characteristic L-shaped molecular structure. tRNAs have two regions of fundamental functional importance: the anti-codon, which is responsible for specific mRNA codon recognition, and the 3' end, to which the tRNAs corresponding amino acid is attached (by aminoacyl-tRNA synthetases). tRNAs cope with the degeneracy of the genetic code in two manners: having more than one tRNA (with a specific anti-codon) for a particular amino acid; and 'wobble' base-pairing, i.e. permitting non-standard base-pairing at the 3rd anti-codon position.
Source: RNAcentral